AUAUUUGUGCGAGUUAACGCAAGGUACAUUCUGAUACUUCAUUGGGGUAUGUUAAGGGUUGCAUGCGAGCCUCCGAUCUCUCUUCGGCUCGCACACUUGGUUCACAAAGGGGUGGAAUAGAGAAGGGACACACAUCCAGCCGAGCACGUCCCAUUGCUGGGCAGCAUCAGACCGAACAUGCAUUCCGAGCUUCGCUAAUGAUCCUUCCGCAGGUUCACCUACGGAAA
This 227-nucleotide unclassified non-coding RNA is filed under the name uncultured fungus. Its description in RNAcentral is "sequence contains ITS1". The record is from RNAcentral. Lineage: Eukaryota; Fungi.